This 296-nucleotide ribosomal RNA is filed under the name Campylothelium cartilagineum. RNAcentral describes it as "partial 12S ribosomal RNA". Lineage: Eukaryota; Fungi; Ascomycota; Dothideomycetes; Trypetheliales; Trypetheliaceae. The record is from RNAcentral.
AUUAAUAUAUUAGAAUUUUUUUAAUAUAUUUAUUUUUAUUAUAAUUAAGAAUUCAAGAAAUUUGAAUGUAAUUCUAGGUAAAAUAUUGAUAAUGACAAAGUUUUAUCUAUACGUCUUGACCAAAUCUUGUGCCAGCAGUCGCGGCAACACAAGGAAGACAAGUGUUAUUCAUCUUAAAUCGGUUUAAGGGGUACCUAGACGGUAAAUUAGCCCUUAAAUGUGGAACGUUUUACUAGAGUUAUAUAUGCAUGAGGNUUAUAUGUGAGUAUUACCAGAGUAGAGAUGGAAUUUUUUGA